Molecule: long non-coding RNA, 796 nt
Filed under: Drosophila guanche
Lineage: Eukaryota; Metazoa; Arthropoda; Insecta; Diptera; Drosophilidae
Source: RNAcentral
UCGGAUUCAGGAGAGGUCACGGGAGCCCUGAGCAAUGUCACAGGGUUAUUAAUGAUAUAGUCUCGGCAUUUGACUCGAAACAAAAAAUACUGCACUGCUGCAUUUCUUGAUGUUCAGCAAGCGUUCGAUCGAGUCUGGCACAAAGGUUUGUUGUACAAGAUAAAGAAAUUGCUACCUGCUCCGUACUAUUUAUUAAUCAAAUCAUAUCUGGCUAAAAUAUGCUUUUACCUGCAGCAGAAAAACGAUACUUCAUCACUACUUAUCAACUUAUCAACGCAGGCGUCCCACAAGGAAGCGUAUUGGGACCAAUUCUCUACAUCUUUAUAUGGCAUGCCAGUUACAAACAACUGCACUGUUGCAACAUAUGCUGAUGACCCAGCCGUUUUAGCCACAAGCACAUCUAUAAAUGAAGCUUCCGAACUCCUGCAGAGUGAGCUAAGCCUAAUUGAAGACUGGUUACUUCGAUGGAAAAUUAGAAUCAACUACCUGAAAUCCGUCAAAAUAACUUUUUCAUUAAGACCAGGGCAGUUAGCCCAAAUUUUAUACUUAACGGCUCACCAAUUCCACUACCUGUGUGAAGUAUCUGGGCUUGCUUCUCGACCGCAGAUUAACAUGGAAAACCCACAUUAAAGCAAAAUGUCAAAAACUCAGACUUAAAACACUAAAAAUGUCCUGGUUAAUAAGUCGAAAACAGAAACCACUUUGGAAAACAAAAUGCGCCUCUACAAAUCCAUACUGAAGCCUGUUUGGGCCUACGCUAUACAGCUCUGGGGAACUGCUAGCAACUAAAAUAUUG